Molecule: ribosomal RNA, 497 nt
Filed under: uncultured bacterium
Lineage: Bacteria
Description: partial 16S ribosomal RNA
Rfam family: Bacterial small subunit ribosomal RNA
Source: RNAcentral
GAUGAACGCUGGCGGCGUGCCUAAUACAUGCAAGUCGAGCGAACGGACGAGAAGCUUGCUUCUCUGAUGUUAGCGGCGGACGGGUGAGUAACACGUGGAUAACCUACCUAUAAGACUGGGAUAACUUCGGGAAACCGGAGCUAAUACCGGAUAAUAUUUUGAACCGCAUGGUUCAAAAGUGAAAGACGGUCUUGCUGUCACUUAUAGAUGGAUCCGCGCUGCAUUAGCUAGUUGGUAAGGUAACGGCUUACCAAGGCAACGAUGCAUAGCCGACCUGAGAGGGUGAUCGGCCACACUGGAACUGAGACACGGUCCAGACUCCUACGGGAGGCAGCAGUAGGGAAUCUUCCGCAAAGGGCGAAAGCCUGACGGAGCAACGCCGCGUGAGUGAUGAAGGUCUUCGGAUCGUAAAACUCUGUUAUUAGGGAAGAACAUAUGUGUAAAUAACUGUGCACAUCUUGACGGUACCUAAUCAGAAAGCCACGGCUAACUACGUG